UGCUGAGUUGAUGGCGACCGGCGCACGGGUGAGUAACGCGUAUCCACCUGCCCUUUACUCCGGGAUAGUCUCCUGAAAGGGAGUUUAAUACCGGAUGUGUCCGCAUGGGUAAAGAUUAUUGGUAAAGGAUGGGGAUGCGUCCCAUUAGCUUGUUGGCGGGGUAACGGCCCACCAAGGCAACGAUGGGUAGGGGUUCUGAGAGGAAGGUCCCCCACAUUGGAACUGAGACACGGUCCAAACUCCACGGGAGGCAGCAGUGAGGAAUAUUGGUCAAUGGGCGAGAGCCUGAACCAGCCAAGUAGCGUGAAGGACGACGGCCUACGGGUUGUAAACUUCUUUUAUAAGGGAAUAAGUUCGCCACGUGUGGUGUUUUGUAUGUACCUUAUGAAUAAGCAUCGGCUAAUUCCGUGCCAGCAGCCGCGGUAAUACGGAAGAUGCGAGCGUUAUCCGGAUUUAUUGGGUUUAAAGGGAGCGUAGGCGGGCUUUUAAGUCAGCGGUCAAAUGCCACGGCUCAACCGUGGCCAGCCGUUGAAACUGUAAGCCUUGAGUCUGCACAGGGCACAUGGAAUUCGU
Molecule: ribosomal RNA, 573 nt
Filed under: uncultured bacterium
Lineage: Bacteria
Description: bacterial SSU rRNA
Rfam family: Bacterial small subunit ribosomal RNA
Source: RNAcentral